AUUUAAAAUCUGGCGGUCUUUGGCCGUGCGAGUUGUAAUCUAGAGAAGUGUUACCCGCGUCGGACCGUGUACAAGUCUCCUGGAAUGGAGCGUCAUAGAGGGUGAGAAUCCCGUCUUUGACACGGACUACCGAGGCUUCUGUGGUGCGCUCUCAAAGAGUCGAGUUGUUUGGGAAUGCAGCUCAAAAUGGGUGGUAAAUUCCAUCUAAAGCUAAAUAUUGGCGAGAGACCGAUAGCGAACAAGUACCGUGAGGGAAAGAUGAAAAGAACUUUGGAAAGAGAGUUAAACAGUACGUGAAAUUGCUGAAAGGGAAACGCUUGAAGUCAGUCGCGUCGUCCGGGAAUCAGCCUUCCUUCUGGUUGGCGUACUUCCUGGUCGACGGGCCAGCAUCAGUUUUGACCGGUGGAAAAAGUUGUAGGGAAUGUGGCACCUCCGGGUGUGUUAUAGCCCUGCUUCGUAUACAUCGGUUGGGACUGAGGAACUCAGCACGCCGCAAGGCCGGGAUUCGUCCACGUUCGUGCUUAGGAUGCUGGCAUAAUGGCUUUAAUCGACCCGUCUUGAAACACGGACCAAGGAGUCUAACAUGCCUGCGAGUGUUUGGGUGGAAAACCCGAGCGCGUAAUGAAAGUGAAAGUUGAGAUCCCUGUCAUGGGGAGCACCGCGCCCGGCCAGACGUUCUCUGACGGUUCUGCGGUAGAGCAUGUAUGUUGGGACCCGAAAGAUGGUGAACUAUGCCUGAAUAGGGUGAAGCCAGAGGAAACUCUGGUGGAGGCUCGUAGCGRUUCUGACGUGCAAGAUCGAUCGUCAAAUUCUGGGUAUAGGGG
Molecule: ribosomal RNA, 824 nt
Filed under: Coprinellus disseminatus
Lineage: Eukaryota; Fungi; Basidiomycota; Agaricomycetes; Agaricales; Psathyrellaceae
Description: LSU rRNA
Rfam family: Eukaryotic large subunit ribosomal RNA
Source: RNAcentral